UCUCAGGUAAUAUGAUCCUGACCAGAGGGAGAUGGGUUGGGGCAUCUAUUCUAGUCCCCACCUGCCAGAAUAGGUGUCAGGUGGCUCCUCACCACUCUACAUCAUUAGUGUGUACAAUGGACACAGCAUUAUCUGAACUUCCAUGGCUCUAUGUAAAGCAUUCCAUUGUAUUUUAAUAAUUACGCAAGACAAGGCCUCUUUCACAUAAGGCAAAUAAGUGUGAUUGAUUCAGACUUCUGGCAUUACUGGGCCAUGCUGCCGCAAGAAACAGGUGCAUGUGGAAUCAAGCCUGACGGAGUUAUUGGUGUGCAGAAAAAAAAAAAGGAUUACUACUUAUCUGGUUUUUAAAGAUGAGAGUGUUUUAUCUGAUGCCCUGACCAAAUGAAACAACAACCUAGACUGAAGCAGGGAACAUUCGCUGGACAUUUCAGGCACUGUGCUAGGCUCUACAGUGAAGCAUUCACAGUCUAGUGGUGUCUAUAAAUAAAACCAAAAUGCUAACUUUUAAAUUCCUAUGAGGAAUAUAUCCAGGAACCCAUGAGAUUCUUUGGUGCCUACAAAUUCUGAUCUCCUUUAAAGGUCAUGAAAACUGUGAGAACCCCAUUAGAGCUAAAUGAGUUUUAAGGGUCUGAUUUUUUCUCAUCUGUAAUAUGAGGAAAUUUGUUACCAGUGGCAAAUCUGUACACAUCUGCAGCAACCUCAAGUCUUGUCUCCUCAGAAGAAAGAAUUGAACUGAGGGGCAUAAGGCAGAAGGAGAGACUGAGGCAAGUAUUAUUUGUUUGUUUAUUUAUUUAUUUAUU
RNAcentral lists this long non-coding RNA (800 nucleotides) under Homo sapiens (human). Its description in RNAcentral is "HSALNT0211092". The record is from RNAcentral. Lineage: Eukaryota; Metazoa; Chordata; Mammalia; Primates; Hominidae.